GCUAUAAAUUGGCACAUUGAUGUACUCAAUGGGUCUAUAGCCUUGUAAUAUAGCUGAUAUACUCGGGUAAUCUUCGAAAUUUCAUCGUGAUGGGGAUAGAUCAUUGCAAUUGUUGGUCUUUAACGAGAAAUUCUUAGUAAGUGCAAGUUAUCAGCUUGCGUUGACUACGCCCC
RNAcentral lists this non-coding RNA (173 nucleotides) under Cucumis melo (muskmelon). RNAcentral's name for it is "Eukaryotic small subunit ribosomal RNA". It matches the Rfam family "Eukaryotic small subunit ribosomal RNA", at positions 1486 to 1653 of the family's 1831-position model. Lineage: Eukaryota; Viridiplantae; Streptophyta; Magnoliopsida; Cucurbitales; Cucurbitaceae. The record is from Rfam by way of RNAcentral. RNAcentral also lists the same sequence under 1 other name.